Cavia porcellus (domestic guinea pig) is the source of this 2937-nucleotide RNA transcript. It is a transcript of the gene named TAFA chemokine like family member 2, with no coding region annotated. The record is from RefSeq and is a predicted model, not a curated record. NCBI's taxonomy places the organism in Eukaryota, Metazoa, Chordata, Mammalia, Rodentia, Caviidae. The transcript has 6 exons.
CUCAGGGCCACACUCACGCCCUCCACGAGCACACACCGCCAGGCUCCGGGUCCCUAUGCCCCUGGAUGGUGACGGCGGAUUGGCAUCCUGGAAGCGAUGCGAGAGCGAUAAGACUGGCGCCGGCCCGCGGAAGCUGCAGGGACCUCGCUAGGUGUUGCCGCCACCGGGAAGCCCGGCUGCAGGAUGAGUAAGAGAUACUUACAGAAAGCAACAAAAGGAAAAUUGCUAAUAAUAAUUUUCAUCGUAACCUUGUGGGGGAAAGUCGUAUCCAGUGCAAACCAUCAUAAAGCUCACCAUGUUAAAACGGGAACUUGCGAGGUGGUGGCACUCCACAGAUGCUGUAAUAAGAACAAGAUAGAAGAACGGUCACAAACAGUCAAGUGUUCCUGCUUCCCCGGACAGGUGGCUGGCACCACACGGGCUGCUCCUUCUUGUGUAGACGCUUCCAUAGUGGAGCAGAAGUGGUGGUGUCACAUGCAGCCGUGUUUGGAGGGAGAAGAGUGUAAGGUUCUCCCAGAUAGGAAAGGGUGGAGCUGCUCCUCUGGAAAUAAAGUGAAAACAACUCGGGCAAACGUGUAGAAUUCUUCAAGUUCGAAUGGAGAAGUAGAAAGAGAAGGUUUCUGCUGUGCCUGAUGACAGUUUUUGAUUUUUCCACAUCCAAAAAUAUUCUGGCUCCACAUUAGAGCACUAGUUGUGAUGAAUCCUACUGUUGGUCGGAUUCUAAGGAAGGCACAGAAGUUUCCUUGAGAAGUAAAGAUUCAAAACAACUCCAGAAAUGAGCUUCCAUCUCGAUUUAUUUCUCGCAGAGCAGCAGGUAACCCAUUAACCAAGGAUAAAUCAAGUGAUUCUCCAGGCUGAUUACAUUGAAACUGAACUCCUGAGAUGACCUUGAAGAGUUUUAUACGGCUCAGAAGAGAUGCUCCAGAGUCUAUUUCCAAGAGAUUCUAUGACUCCUUUCCAGCCUCUUCUUGAGAUCAAGAUAUUUAAAAAGUCAGACAUGAACUUCUCUAUCAUAAAGACUUCAUCAGAUUGGAACUGUGCUCAACUUGUACAGUUGCUAAGGGAAUCUGAAGUCACCAUUGGCAGAGCUGGUUGAGCAUUGCUGUUUUCAGGGUGACAUCAGAGACAGCCACCUUUUGGGUUCCUGGCUCCAAGCUGUGACUGGUUUUCUUGUUUCUGAAAGCUGUCUCCAAGUGCACUGUCCUUCUGUCAUGGAUGUGUUCCUGGGUCCUUUGUUCUUUGGCUAGUGACAACAUUUCCUUUGUGAAAUUCUCUGGCAUGGCAUAGACUGAGAUAAUUUUCUCUGUAUCUUAAUCUUGGAGCUCUGAAAGCCUACUGUUUUAACAUCUUAAAGUUGCUUUUGUUAAAGGAAUGGAAAUAUAUAUCCAUCGAUAAUAAUUAUUGUUGGCAAGUAAUAGUAAUCUGAAUACAUCAAUCAUAUAAGAAUGUAUAGACAAGCUGACAUGUUUCCCCAAGGUUAACAUGCUGCUGCAGCUCUCUGUCGGUUAGAUAGGUACUAGUUAGAACUGGAUUACCAUUUUCAUUAGACAAUAAUUUGCACCUCUGGAACACUCUCCCUUUCAGAUUUGUUUUGUUUUGUUUUUGUAAAGUGGGCUUUUUUGUAUUUAAUUUUCCCCUUUAUAGAAAUCAGCAACAAGAAGCAGACAAGUUAUUAGGUAGCCUUCAGUUUAAAACUGUCAGGGAUGCAUGUGAGUUUCUGAUUUGUUAGCUUGAAUGUUAUUCACUUAGAUUUCUUCUAGUAUUUUUUUUCAACUAUCUUUUUUUCCUAUUUCAUUUUAAAAGACUUAUCUCUUGCUUGAUCCUAAUGACUGUUUGAAUGCUUAUAUAUUUGUUCAGUCUGUUGAUAGACUAAGUUGUUCAUUUUUCUUGGUCACAAAUUUAUAAAUAUUUGUUCCAUUCAAACAAUCUUUUAGGCCAGUAAUUUGUCCACAUUUUCAUAGCUUUAACAUUUGUGGCUUUUGGUUCUACAGGAACGUCUUAUAAAUAUUUAAAGGCCUUAAACAUUUAUGUACUUCUUUCUAAGUUAUUACAGAAUGUAUAAUUUUAUACUACAUUUAUUUUGUUUCAUUUCUGAUGUGGAUGGAGAGAAGAAUGGAAAUCAUAUCCCCCUUCUGUAAUAAUAUUGUGUAAAUCUCUGGGUUGCAGGAAUCUGAAGGGAGGGAUUCUGUGUUUUACUGAUGUUAGACUGAUUAGAAGACUCUUCCAAAUUAUCUUAUGAAAGUUCCAUCCUGCUAGAAGGUGUGCAGAUAGCUUAUAUGCGUAGGAUUCACUGACUCAGCCAGUUAGGCAGAGGUUGGUUUCUGUGAUGGAGGGUCAUAUGUCCUGGAGACCUUUGGUCUAUUUGUUUGUAAUGAUAUUCAAAAACACAGUAUAGUACCAAGACCUUACAAAGAAAAACAAUUAAAAAUGUAAAAUUUGUUGGAAAUUAAUUUGUAAAGUGUACUUUUGACACUGAAUUAAGAUCCACUGUCCCACAAGUCUGUGGAAUGAAAUUACUUUCUGCCUCCAUUUUAAUUAUGCAUAAAACUAAUUAGAUGGCUCUGAGUGGAUAUUGCAGUGAUUCAAGACCAUGUAAUCAUAAAGAAAGGAGUAACAAUUGUGCUGGAGUUUCUGCAUCAAUUAGAAUCUCAUUCAUUUCUUUGGAACAAAAUGGAAAACUAUAUUAUUUUGAAAAUUGUGAAUUUGUCUUAAGUUUGUUUGAAAUUAUAGAUCAUGCUUCUUAUUUUUAAAACUAUGUCCUUUAAAACAGCACUGGAAAUUCUGUAUUAUACACACCUGUAAUACAUGCAUAUCAAUAGAAAAAAAUAAAUGGAAUUUCAAAUAUACUGACUACAUUAUCCCCGGUAGAUUAAUGUUGUGACUACUCAGAAAAGGUUAAUAAAAUUGGGAUAUAAAUGGACUCUUUCAUAAGUACAA